RNAcentral lists this ribosomal RNA (472 nucleotides) under uncultured bacterium. Its description in RNAcentral is "partial 16S ribosomal RNA". It matches the Rfam family "Bacterial small subunit ribosomal RNA", at positions 28 to 507 of the family's 1533-position model. The record is from RNAcentral.
GACGAACGCUGGCGGCGUGCUUAACACAUGCCAGUCGAACGCUGAAGCUUGGUGCUUGCACUGGGUGGAUGAGUGGCGAACGGGUGAGUAAUACGUGAGUAACCUGCCCUUGACUCUGGGAUAAGCCUGGGAAACUGGGUCUAAUACUGGAUAUGACAUGCCACUGCAUGGUGGUGUGUGGAAAGGGUUUUACUGGUUUUGGAUGGGCUCACGGCCUAUCAGCUUGUUGGUGGGGUAAUGGCCUACCAAGGCGACGACGGGUAGCCGGCCUGAGAGGGUGACCGGCCACACUGGGACUGAGACACGGCCCAGACUCCUACGGGAGGCAGCAGUGGGGAAUAUUGCACAAUGGGCGGAAGCCUGAUGCAGCGACGCCGCGUGAGGGAUGACGGCCUUCGGGUUGUAAACCUCUUUCAGCACGGAAGAAGCGAGAGUGACGGUACGUGCAGAAGAAGCGCCGGCUAACUACGUG